CAGUAGCCACGGGAAUACGAAGGGUGCAAGCGUUACUCGGAAUUACUGGGCGUAAAGCGUGCGUAGGUGGUUGUUUAAGUCUGCUGUGAAAGCCCUGGGCUCAACCUGGGAAUUGCAGUGGAUACUGGGCGACUAGAGUAAGGUAGAGGAUAGUGGAAUUUCUGGUGUAGCAGUGAAAUGCGUAGAGAUCGGAAGGAACAUCUGUGGCGAAGGCGACUAUCUGGGCCAUUACUGACACUGAGGCACGAAAGCGUGGGGAGCAAACAGGAUUAGAUACCCCUGUAGUCCCUGUCUUUAUACA
Molecule: ribosomal RNA, 301 nt
Filed under: uncultured bacterium
Lineage: Bacteria
Description: partial 16S ribosomal RNA
Rfam family: Bacterial small subunit ribosomal RNA
Source: RNAcentral